This is a long non-coding RNA of Gasterosteus aculeatus aculeatus (three-spined stickleback), 1158 nucleotides long. The record is from Ensembl. Lineage: Eukaryota; Metazoa; Chordata; Actinopteri; Perciformes; Gasterosteidae.
GAUAGAUGUAAUGUGUGCUGACCACACAAGGAGAAAACAAAUCCUCUGGUGCUCUGAUUGGAAGCCUGUAAUCAAGCUGCAAAAAAAAUCCUUUUCCUUUCUGGGCAAAUUCGAUGGACGUGCACACGAAUCAACAACAGGGGAAUGAAAGCGGACGUUUCCCUGCGUGCUGACGGGCGGCGAGAACAGAAGUGUGUUUGUUCUCAGAACCCCACGGCCCUCCGAUGAGAAAGAGCGCCGGCGUGAUGGACGGGACGCGUCGAUUUUCCCCGGCGACCGGAGUCCAACGGGAAACCUCGUCCGUUUGAAAGCUACUUGGUUUGAAGGAGGAUGGGUCGGCCAGAGAUAAGCACCUUUUCAUCAGCAGAGAGCAACAGAACGUUUCGCCAUCAACCCUCAUUUCUCAUGUUUCUUAUGUGAACAUUACUCCCUCGAUCUCUAUUUAUAGUAUCAUAUUUUCCUGCAGUACGAAUAGCAGCUGGACUCUGUGUUCAAAUAACCAACAUAAUGAGAUACUACAGAAUCCGAGAACAGUUUCUUGCAGGAUGCUAAAUUUCAUGGGACGAUCCAUCUGUUGAUGUUUCUCCUCGGACCCUUUUUUUGCACACCGACACAUUGAAAAUGGAAAGAGGGAAAACCUCCCUCUUUCCAUUUAGAAUGCUUGCCAGCUUCUAGGUGGAGAGUGAACAGCACGACUGAAUAGUAUAAAAGUGGUAACCCCCCCCUUUCUAUUUCCAGCUCUAACUCAGCACUUUGCCGCUUCUCUCCCGUCAACGUUGUUCUCUGCACUCACAUCCACUUUGGAUGUUGUUGUUCAAUCAGCAGAUAACCGAUCAUCUCUGGAGCACAACCCCUCGUUCGCUUUCUGUCCUCCUCCGUCUCACCCGUAAUGAUCCAUCUCACGAGUCGGAUCAACACGUCCGUGACUCUGGAGAUGUCAGAGCGGCGUGGUCUGCGGGCGGAGAUGUUCCAGCUGGGACAGACUGGCUGGAGGAGCGUGAAAUAUCUCACCAACCUGCAUUAAUCCACCACUUUGUGUUGAGGAGCAUAGAGCACCUUUGGACGAAGCUAAUCUUACAUCUUCCUUUAACUUGUCUUGUUUUUGAGGUGUUGGAUUAAACUUUUCAUCCGGUGAGAUUUGACACACUUGCUUAACCC